This 253-nucleotide ribosomal RNA is filed under the name uncultured bacterium. RNAcentral's name for it is "partial 16S ribosomal RNA". It matches the Rfam family "Bacterial small subunit ribosomal RNA", at positions 524 to 776 of the family's 1533-position model. The record is from RNAcentral.
UACGAAGGGGGCUAGCGUUGUUCGGAAUUACUGGGCGUAAAGGGCGCGUAGGCGGUCUUGUAAGUCAGGCGUGAAAGGCCCGGGCUCAACCUGGGGACUGCGCUUGAUACUGCGGGGCUUGAAUCCGGGAGAGGAUGGCGGAAUUCCCAGUGUAGAGGUGAAAUUCGUAGAUAUUGGGAAGAACACCGGUGGCGAAGGCGGCCAUCUGGCCCAGUACUGACACUCAAGUGCGAAAGCGUGGGGAGCAAACAGG